GUGGGGAAUAUUGGACAAUGGGCGAAAGCCUGAUCCAGCCAUGCCGCGUGAGUGAUGAAGGCCUUAGGGUUGUAAAGCUCUUUCAGUAGGGAAGAUAAUGACGGUACCUACAGAAGAAGCCCCGGCUAACUUCGUGCCAGCAGCCGCGGUAAUACGAAGGGGGCUAGCGUUGUUCGGAUUUACUGGGCGUAAAGCGCACGUAGGCGGAUUGGUCAGUUAGAGGUGAAAUCCUGGAGCUCAACUCCAGAACUGCCUUUAAUACUGCCAGUCUAGAGUCCAGAAGAGGUGAGUGGAACUCCUAGUGUAGAGGUGGAAUUCGUAGAUAUUAGGAAGAACACCAGUGGCGAAGGCGACUCACUGGCCCAAUACUGACGCUGAGGCGCGAAAGCGUGGGGAGCAAACAGGAUUAGAAACCCGUGUAGUCC
RNAcentral lists this ribosomal RNA (425 nucleotides) under uncultured bacterium. RNAcentral describes it as "partial 16S ribosomal RNA". It matches the Rfam family "Bacterial small subunit ribosomal RNA", at positions 354 to 796 of the family's 1533-position model. The record is from RNAcentral.